GCCAAAAAUCUAGCCCCUUCCCGCCCUAUGCACCCCUAACAGCAUGACAUUAAUUAAAACAUUUAUUAUAUUUUAGUAAAGGCGAUAGAAAAAUUAAUUGGAGCAAUAACAAUAGUACCGCAAGGAAAUGAUGAAAUAAAAAUGAAACAAAUAUUAAGCAAAGCAAAGCAGAGACCUGUCCUCGUACCUUUUGCAUCAUGAUUUAACUAGUCUAACCAAGCAAAAAGAACUUUAGUUUGAUACCCCGAAACUAGACGAGCUACUUCGAGGCAGCUUAAUGAGCGCACCCGUCUCUGUUGCAAAAGAGUGGGAUGACCCCCAAGUAGAGGUGACAGACCUAACGAGUUUAGUGAUAGCUGGUUACUUAAAAAAAGGAUUUUAGUCCAACCUCAAACAUACUAAAUUAAAUUAAAUAGAUAUCAUGUUUUAGCGUCAUUCAAACGAGGUACAGCCCGCUUGAAAUAAGGAUACAACCUACACUAAUGGGUAAACUUUAAAAUUUAUAAACAAGUAGGCUUAAAAGCAGCCACCUUUUAAAUAGCGUCAAAGCUUAUCUACUCUUCACCCUAAUCCCGCUACUCUAAUUAAACCCUUUAUCCCUAUUAAGUACAUCUAUAAACUUAUAGAAGCUAUUAUGUUAAAACUAGUAAUAAGAAGUGAGACCUUCUCUUUAAUGUAUAUGUGAAUCAGAAAGGACACCCCGCUGAUAAUUAUACGCCCAUGAGAAUAAAACAGCAACCCCCCAAGAAAACUCUGUUUUAUUUAACGUCAACCUGACACCAGAACAUUACAAGAAAGAUUUAAAGAAAAAGAAGGAACUCGGCAAACAUUAACCUCGCCUGUUUACCAAAAACAUCGCCUCUUGAAUUCACAUAAGAGGUCCAGCCUGCCCAGUGACCAAGUUUAACGGCCGCGGUAUCCUAACCGUGCGAAGGUAGCGUAAUCACUUGUUCUUUAAAUGAGGACUAGUAUGAAUGGCACCACGAGGGUUAUACUGUCUCCUUUUUCUAAUCAAUGAAACUGAUCCCCCCGUGAAGAAGCGGGGAUAAUAAUAUAAGACGAGAAGACCCUAUGGAGCUUUAAACCAUGUAACACUGGCCUAAAAUACCCCACGUUUCAUAACUACCACAAAUACCCCGGCCACUUUGAUUACUAGUUUUAGGUUGGGGUGACCACGGAGCAAAAAUUAACCUCCACGCUGAAUGGAGCCACUCCUGAGCCAAAAGCUACAACUUUAAGCACUAACAAAUUAACAAUAAUUGACCCAAUAUUUUGAUCAACGAACCAAGUUACCCUAGGGAUAACAGCGCAAUCCAUUUUAAGAGCCCCUAUCGACAAAUGGGUUUACGACCUCGAUGUUGGAUCAGGGUAUCCCAGUGGUGCAGCCGCUACUAAAGGUUCGUUUGUUCAACGAUUAAAACCCU
Molecule: ribosomal RNA, 1424 nt
Filed under: Dendropsophus sp. 3 ML-2020
Lineage: Eukaryota; Metazoa; Chordata; Amphibia; Anura; Hylidae
Description: partial 16S ribosomal RNA
Rfam family: Bacterial large subunit ribosomal RNA
Source: RNAcentral